UACGUAGGGGGCAAGCGUUGUCCGGAAUCAUUGGGCGUAAAGCGCGUGUAGGCGGCCCGGUAAGUCCGCUGUGAAAGUCGGGGGCUCAACCCUCGAAUGCCGGUGGAUACUGUCGGGCUAGAGUGCGGGAGAGGCGAGUGGAAUUCCUGGUGUAGCGGUGAAAUGCGCAGAUAUCAGGAGGAACACCAAUUGCGAAGGCAGCUCGCUGGGACGUUACUGACGCUGAGACGCGAAAGCGUGGGGAGCAAACAGG
Molecule: ribosomal RNA, 253 nt
Filed under: uncultured bacterium
Lineage: Bacteria
Description: partial 16S ribosomal RNA
Rfam family: Bacterial small subunit ribosomal RNA
Source: RNAcentral